RNAcentral lists this transfer-messenger RNA (423 nucleotides) under Clostridiaceae bacterium. It matches the Rfam family "transfer-messenger RNA". From Rfam's summary of the family: Bacterial tmRNA, also known as 10Sa RNA or SsrA, is named for its dual tRNA and mRNA-like properties. Its role is to liberate the mRNA from a stalled ribosome. To accomplish this part of the tmRNA is used as a reading frame that ends in a translation stop signal. The record is from RNAcentral. Lineage: Bacteria; Bacillati; Bacillota; Clostridia; Eubacteriales; Clostridiaceae. RNAcentral also lists the same sequence under 1 other name.
GGGGGCGUAAAGGUUUCGACGGGAUCGUUGAAACCCAGGUAGCGGGUAGAGGAUUCUCGUUGGCCUCUUUAAAAAACGAGAACUUAAAAAUAAACGCUAAAAACGAUAAUUUCGCUUUAGCUGCUGCCUAAUAUAGGCAGCCCGUCAGUCCGGGGUUCCUGCACCUCGGGGAACUGGCGUCAUCAAGUCAGGCCUUCUGCGUGGGAAGGUUAAACGCCGGAACUGCCAAAGUGGUAGCCUUGAGCUUUGGCGGAAUAAAAGGCUACUGAAAGCAGUACCCUGCCUGUAGGGGACUGUCGUAGGGAACCGCCGGUCAUUGUCUCGCAAGGGAAACGUGACACGGCAGCAAAAUACAGGAUGCACCCGGAGAAGCUUGAGUGGAUAUGGUUUCGGACAGGGGUUCGAUUCCCCUCGCCUCCACCA